CAAAGAAAGCGCCACCACCAAGACGGUUCAAAUUCAAAUUCUAACAGUUGGCGAUAUAAGGAGAUUGGGUCUGAGAGUUUUUUUUAAAUCGUUGAUUAAAUAAUGUCUCGCUUGCCAGUCAUGUCAAACAAGAGGGUCUUUGCUCGCAGCAGUUCAGAUGUUGGCCAAGACUUGGAGACUGAGCCGGCUCAGAAGAAAAAGCGUAAUGAUGCAGAAGCAGUCAGACCGCAGGCUGCAGCCACUGUGGUGGUUAGCAAGCGGCCUCCUGUUCCAGCGUCCAGCG
Long non-coding RNA from Monopterus albus (swamp eel), 283 nucleotides. RefSeq lists it as uncharacterized. The record is from RefSeq and is a predicted model, not a curated record. The transcript is spliced from 3 exons. NCBI's taxonomy places the organism in Eukaryota, Metazoa, Chordata, Actinopteri, Synbranchiformes, Synbranchidae.